UGGGGAAUAUUGCGCAAUGGGGGCAACCCUGACGCAGCAACGCCGCGUGCGGGACGACGGCCUUCGGGUUGUAAACCGCUUUCAGCAGGGAAGAUAGUGACGGUACCUGCACAAGAAGCCCCGGCUAACUACGUGCCAGCAGCCGCGGUAAUACGUAGGUGGCAAGCGUUGUCCGGAAUUACUGGGCGUAAAGAGCUCGUAGGCGGUUUGUCACGUCGUCUGUGAAAUCCUAGGGCUUAACCCUGGACGUGCAGGCGAUACGGGCUGACUUGAGUACUACAGGGGAGACUGGAAUUUCUGGUGUAGCGGUGGAAUGCACAGAUAUCAGGAAGAACACCGAUGGCGAAGGCAGGUCUCUGGGUAGUAACUGACGCUGAGGAGCGAAAGCAUGGGUAGCGAACAGG
This 404-nucleotide ribosomal RNA is filed under the name Verrucomicrobiota bacterium. RNAcentral's name for it is "Verrucomicrobia bacterium partial 16S ribosomal RNA". It matches the Rfam family "Bacterial small subunit ribosomal RNA", at positions 355 to 776 of the family's 1533-position model. The record is from RNAcentral. Lineage: Bacteria; Pseudomonadati; Verrucomicrobiota.